ACAGGCCUACGGGGCGCAGCAGUAGGGAAUCUUCCACAAUGGACGAAAGUCUGAUGGAGCAACGCCGCGUGAGUGAAGAAGGGUUUCGGCUCGUAAAACUCUGUUGGUAGUGAAGAAAGAUAGAGGUAGUAACUGGCCUUUAUUUGACGGUAAUUACUUAGAAAGUCACGGCUAACUACGUGCCAGGAGCCGCGGUAAUACGUAGGUGGCAAGCGUUGUCCGGAUUUAUUGGGCGUAAAGCGAGUGCAGGCGGGUCAAUAAGUCUGAUGUGAAAACCUUCUGCUC
Molecule: ribosomal RNA, 285 nt
Filed under: uncultured bacterium
Lineage: Bacteria
Description: partial 16S ribosomal RNA
Rfam family: Bacterial small subunit ribosomal RNA
Source: RNAcentral